Molecule: ribosomal RNA, 253 nt
Filed under: uncultured bacterium
Lineage: Bacteria
Description: partial 16S ribosomal RNA
Rfam family: Bacterial small subunit ribosomal RNA
Source: RNAcentral
UACGUAGGUGGCAAGCGUUGUCCGGAUUUACUGGGCGUAAAGGGCGUGCAGGCGGUUUGUUAAGUCUUGGGUGAAAGCUCCCGGCUCAACUGGGAGAGGUCCUUGGAUACUGGCGAACUUGAGGGAUGCAGAGGAAAGUGGAAUUCCCGGUGUAGUGGUGAUAUGCGUAGAUAUCGGGAGGAACACCAGUGGCGAAGGCGGCUUUCUGGGCAUUUCCUGACGCUGAGACGCGAAAGCGUGGGGAGCGAACCGG